GCAGUCGAACGAACCUUCGGGUUAGUGGCGGACGGGUGAGUAACGCGUGAGAAUCUGCCCUCAGGAGGGGGAUAACGGCUGGAAACGGCCGCUAAUACCCCAUAUGCCGAGAGGUGAAAUGAAAUUCGCCUGAGGAUGAGCUCGCGUCUGAUUAGCUAGUUGGCAGGGUAAAGGCCUACCAAGGCAACGAUCAGUAGCUGGUCUGAGAGGAUGAUCAGCCACACUGGGACUGAGACACGGCCCAGACUCCUACGGGAGGCAGCAGUGGGGAAUUUUCCGCAAUGGGCGAAAGCCUGACGGAGCAACGCCGCGUGAGGGAUGAAGGCCUCUGGGCUGUAAACCUCUUUUAUCAAGGAAGAAGAUCUGACGGUACUUGAUGAAUAAGCCACGGCUAAUUCCGUGCCAGCAGCCGCGGUAAUACGGGAGUGGCAAGCGUUAUCCGGAAUUAUUGGGCGUAAAGCGUCCGCAGGCGGUCUUACAAGUCUGUCGUUAAAGCGUGGAGCUUAACUCCAUUUCAGCGAUGGAAACUGUAAGACUAGAGUGUGGUAGGGGCAGAGGGAAUUCCCGGUGUAGCGGUGAAAUGCGUAGAUAUCGGGAAGAACACCAGUGGCGAAGGCGCUCUGCUGGGCCAUAACUGACGCUCAUGGACGAAAGCCAGGGGAGCGAAAGGGAUUAGAUACCCCUGUAGUCCUGGCCGUAAACGAUGAACACUAGGUGUCGGGGGAAUCGACCCCCUCGGUGUCGUAGCCAACGCGUUAAGUGUUCCGCCUGGGGAGUACGCACGCAAGUGUGAAACUCAAAGGAAUUGACGGGGGCCCGCACAAGCGGUGGAGUAUGUGGUUUAAUUCGAUGCAACGCGAAGAACCUUACCAGGGUUUGACAUCCUGCGAAUCCCUUGGAAACGAGGGAGUGCCUUCGGGAACGCAGUGACAGGUGGUGCAUGGCUGUCGUCAGCUCGUGUCGUGAGAUGUUGGGUUAAGUCCCGCAACGAGCGCAACCCACGUCUUUAGUUGCCAGCAUUUAGUUGGGCACUCUAGAGAGACUGCCGGUGAUAAACCGGAGGAAGGUGUGGAUGACGUCAAGUCAUCAUGCCCCUUACAUCCUGGGCUACACACGUACUACAAUGCUACGGACAAAGGGCAGCAAACUCGCGAGAGCUAGCCAAUCCCAUAAACCGUGGCUCAGUUCAGAUCGUAGGCUGCAACUCGCCUACGUGAAGGAGGAAUCGCUAGUAAUCGCAGGUCAGCAUACUGCGGUGAAUACGUUCCCGGGCCUUGUACACACCGCCCGUCACACCAUGGAAGUUGGCCACGCCCGAAGUCGUUACUCCAACCCUCGUGGAGGAGGAUGCCGAAGGUGGGGCUGAUGACUGGGGUGAAGUCGUAACAAGGUAGCCGUACCGGAAGGUGC
RNAcentral lists this ribosomal RNA (1410 nucleotides) under uncultured Cyanobium sp. RNAcentral describes it as "bacterial SSU rRNA". It matches the Rfam family "Bacterial small subunit ribosomal RNA". The record is from RNAcentral. Lineage: Bacteria; Bacillati; Cyanobacteriota; Cyanophyceae; Synechococcales; Prochlorococcaceae.